UCCCGGCUGGCACAAUUGGUAGCGCGUGAGACUCUUAUCCGGUGGAUAUCUCAAGGUUGUGGGUUCGAGCCCCACGUUGGGAG
Molecule: transfer RNA, 83 nt
Filed under: Neolecta irregularis DAH-3
Lineage: Eukaryota; Fungi; Ascomycota; Neolectomycetes; Neolectales; Neolectaceae
Rfam family: tRNA
About the family: Transfer RNA (tRNA) molecules are approximately 80 nucleotides in length.
Source: Rfam by way of RNAcentral